This is a long non-coding RNA of Bufo bufo (common toad), 142 nucleotides long. RefSeq lists it as uncharacterized. The record is from RefSeq and is a predicted model, not a curated record. NCBI's taxonomy places the organism in Eukaryota, Metazoa, Chordata, Amphibia, Anura, Bufonidae. The transcript is spliced from 3 exons.
AGCACCCCUCAAUCAGUAUUUGGCGGAAACUGGUAUAUAACACCCCUCAAUCAGUAUUUGUCAGAAACAGGUAUAUAGCACCCCUCAAUCAGAAUUUGGUGGAAACAGGUAUAUUGCACCCCUCAAUCAGUAUUUUGUGGAA